AACGUAGGUGGCAAGCGUUAUCCGGAUUUACUGGGCGUAAAGUGUGCGCAGGCGGCCGCGCAAGUCGAGUGUGAAAGCCCCGAGCUUAACUUGGGAAUUGCGCUCGAAACUACGUGGCUGGAGUGUGGCAGAGGAAGGUGGAAUUCCACGUGUAGCGGUGAAAUGCGUAGAGAUGUGGAGGAACACCGAUGGCGAAGGCGGCUCACUGGUCCGGUACUGACGCUGAGGUGCGAAAGCGUGGGGAGCAAACAGG
This 253-nucleotide ribosomal RNA is filed under the name uncultured bacterium. RNAcentral's name for it is "partial 16S ribosomal RNA". It matches the Rfam family "Bacterial small subunit ribosomal RNA", at positions 524 to 776 of the family's 1533-position model. The record is from RNAcentral.